GUAUCAGGUUGGUGCAGAAGUGAUUGCGGCUUUUGCCAUUACUUUUAAUGGCAAAAACUGCAAUCACUUUAGCAGCAACCUAAUAAAU
This is a microRNA precursor of Nomascus leucogenys (northern white-cheeked gibbon), 88 nucleotides long. NCBI's taxonomy places the organism in Eukaryota, Metazoa, Chordata, Mammalia, Primates, Hylobatidae. The record is from Ensembl.